This 821-nucleotide ribosomal RNA is filed under the name marine metagenome. Its description in RNAcentral is "bacterial SSU rRNA". It matches the Rfam family "Bacterial small subunit ribosomal RNA", at positions 165 to 983 of the family's 1533-position model. The record is from RNAcentral.
AAUACCGCAUACACCCUAAGGGGGAAAGAGGGCCUAUCCUUGGAAGCUCUCGCUGUUAGAUGAGCCUGCGUGAGAUUAGUUUGUUGGUGGGGUAAUGGCCUACCAAGACCGCGAUCUCUAGCUGGUCUGAGAGGACGAUCAGCCACACUGGGACUGAGACACGGCCCAGACUCCUACGGGAGGCAGCAGUAGGGAAUAUUGGACAAUGGGGGCAACCCUGAUCCAGCUAUGCCGCGUGUGUGAAGAAGGCUCUAGGGUUGUAAAGCACUUUAGGUAAGGACGAAAAGAAUAUAGUUAAUACCUAUAUUCCGUGACUUAACUUACAGAAUAAGGACCGGCUAACUCCGUGCCAGCAGCCGCGGUAAUACGGAGGGUCCAAGCGUUAAUCGGAAUUACUGGGCGUAAAGCGCGCGUAGGCGGUUUGUCAAGUUGGAUGUGAAAUCCCUGGGCUCAACCUAGGAACUGCAUUCAAAACUUAUAGACUAGAGUACGAUAGAGGAGAGUAGAAUUCCUGGUGUAGCGGUGAAAUGCGUAGAUAUCAGGAGGAAUACCAAUGGCGAAGGCAACUCUCUGGAUCGACACUGACGCUGAGGUGCGAAAGCGUGGGUAGCAAACAGGAUUAGAUACCCUGGUAGUCCACGCCGUAAACGAUGAGAACUAGCCGUUGGAUCUUAGAUUCAGUGGUACAGCUAACGCAUUAAGUUCUCCGCCUGGGGAGUACGGCCGCAAGGCUAAAACUCAAAUGAAUUGACGGGGGCCCGCACAAGCGGUGGAGCAUGUGGUUUAAUUCGAUGCAACGCGAAAAACCUUACCAAACCCUU